This 84-nucleotide microRNA precursor is filed under the name Homo sapiens (human). Its description in RNAcentral is "mir-548 microRNA precursor family". It matches the Rfam family "mir-548 microRNA precursor family". The record is from Rfam by way of RNAcentral. Lineage: Eukaryota; Metazoa; Chordata; Mammalia; Primates; Hominidae.
UAUUAGGUUGGUGCAAAAGUAAUUGCGGUUUUUACCGUUGAAGGUAAUGGCAAAAACCGCAAUUACUUUUGCACCAAUCUAAUA